Molecule: ribosomal RNA, 641 nt
Filed under: Vibrio fluvialis
Lineage: Bacteria; Pseudomonadati; Pseudomonadota; Gammaproteobacteria; Vibrionales; Vibrionaceae
Description: partial 23S ribosomal RNA
Rfam family: Bacterial large subunit ribosomal RNA
Source: RNAcentral
GGUUAAGUGACUAAGCGUACACGGUGGAUGCCUUGGCAGUCAGAGGCGAUGAAGGACGUAGUAACUUGCGAUAAGCUCAGAUUAGGCAGUAACAGCCACUUGAGUCUGAGAUUUCCGAAUGGGGAAACCCAACUGCAUAAGCAGUUACUGUUAACUGAAUACAUAGGUUAACAGGGCGAACCGGGGGAACUGAAACAUCUAAGUACCCCGAGGAGAAGAAAUCAACCGAGAUUCCGAUAGUAGCGGCGAGCGAAAUUGGAUUAGCCCUUAAGCUUUACAUGCGUCAGGUGAAGGUUCUGGAAAGGACCGCGAAACAGGGUGAUAGCCCCGUAGCCGACAGCGCAUGUUCAGUGAAAUCGAGUAGGGCGGGACACGUGUUAUCCUGUCUGAAUAUGGGGGGACCAUCCUCCAAGGCUAAAUACUCCUGACUGACCGAUAGUGAACCAGUACCGUGAGGGAAAGGCGAAAAGAACCCCUGUGAGGGGAGUGAAAUAGAACCUGAAACCGUGUACGUACAAGCAGUAGGAGCCUCUUCGUGGGGUGACUGCGUACCUUUUGUAUAAUGGGUCAGCGACUUAUAUUCAGUGGCAAGGUUAACCAUUUAGGGGAGCCGUAGGGAAACCGAGUCUUAACUGGGCGUU